RNAcentral lists this ribosomal RNA (491 nucleotides) under uncultured bacterium. Its description in RNAcentral is "partial 16S ribosomal RNA". It matches the Rfam family "Bacterial small subunit ribosomal RNA", at positions 29 to 507 of the family's 1533-position model. The record is from RNAcentral.
AGUGAACGCUGGCGGUAGGCCUAACACAUGCAAGUCGAACGGCAGCACAGUAAGAGCUUGCUCUUACGGGUGGCGAGUGGCGGACGGGUGAGGAAUACAUCGGAAUCUACUUUUUCGUGGGGGAUAACGUAGGGAAACUUACGCUAAUACCGCAUACGACCUACGGGUGAAAGCAGGGGAUCUUCGGACCUUGCGCGAUUGAAUGAGCCGAUGUCGGAUUAGCUAGUUGGCGGGGUAAAGGCCCACCAAGGCGACGAUCCGUAGCUGGUCUGAGAGGAUGAUCGGCCAAACUGGAACUGAGACACGGUCCAGACUCCUACGGGAGGCAGCAGUGGGAAAUAUUGGACAAUGGGCGCAGGCCUGAUCCAGCCAGACCGCGUGGGUGAAGAAGGCUUUUGGGUUGUAAAGCCCUUUUGUUGGGAAGAAAAGCAGCAGGUUAAUACCCCGCCGUUCUGACGGUACCCAAAGAAUAAGCACCGGCUAACUUCGUG